Lactuca sativa (garden lettuce) is the source of this 777-nucleotide non-coding RNA. The record is from RefSeq and is a predicted model, not a curated record. Lineage: Eukaryota; Viridiplantae; Streptophyta; Magnoliopsida; Asterales; Asteraceae.
CGAUUAUCACCAAUUGUCGGCCACCAUCACUGGUUCAACUUCACAGCAGAGAAAUCAACGUCACCACCUUCAUCCGCCAUCACCACCGUAUACCAUCCUCACCAUAGUCCCACCGAACCACCUCAGAACAACUGAAAGGUCAUUUCCUGAACAUUUCCAUAGGAGCAGCCUCCUUACAAUCACACGAACCAAGAAAUAAGAAGAAAAAGGGAUAAGGAGGUUUCCUUGUUGAAGACGAUGAAUAAUGGCAGUAGGUUGUAAGCUCGGAUGAAUUAGGUUGCACAAGUGGAGGGCUCUACGAAGAGAAAUGUAGAGACAACCUCUUUUUUUCGUGGGUAACCAAAAACCAAGGAAUCUAAUUUCUUUCAUUUUGUUUCCUUUAAUCAACAACUUCAUAAAACAAUGAGAUGAAAUAUCCUUCCUCAUUUGUUCUUUCUUCAUCUCUUUCUGGUUCGAGGUUUAGAUUUUUUGUGUCGGUUGUAACAGGUAGGGCAGAAGUGGUGGUGAUGUUGGUUGGAAUGAAAACGAAAAAAAAAAACAUGAAAGACGCACACAACCUGUUUGAUGAAAAUCCUCAAAGAUUUUAUUGUUGUUCUUGGCUUAAGAAUAGGGGUUGUUUGAACCAUACUUUUUGCUAGAGUUUAUUGAACAUGGAUGUUGAUAGGAGAAUUGUGUUGGGUUAUUUGUUUAUCAAAAAAUUUCUUACCAGAUUGAAUCUUGUUGACUGAUUAUCAACAUUCUAACUCGUGAUUGUGUUUAACCAUCAAGUUUAGUUCU